GUCCCCUUCGUCUAGUGGUUAGGACACCGGGUUUUCAUCUCGGCAACAGGGGUUCGAAUCCCCUAGGGGACGCCA
RNAcentral lists this transfer RNA (75 nucleotides) under Gammaproteobacteria bacterium. Its description in RNAcentral is "tRNA-Glu". It matches the Rfam family "tRNA". From Rfam's summary of the family: Transfer RNA (tRNA) molecules are approximately 80 nucleotides in length. Their secondary structure includes four short double-helical elements and three loops (D, anti-codon, and T loops). Further hydrogen bonds mediate the characteristic L-shaped molecular structure. tRNAs have two regions of fundamental functional importance: the anti-codon, which is responsible for specific mRNA codon recognition, and the 3' end, to which the tRNAs corresponding amino acid is attached (by aminoacyl-tRNA synthetases). tRNAs cope with the degeneracy of the genetic code in two manners: having more than one tRNA (with a specific anti-codon) for a particular amino acid; and 'wobble' base-pairing, i.e. permitting non-standard base-pairing at the 3rd anti-codon position. Lineage: Bacteria; Pseudomonadati; Pseudomonadota; Gammaproteobacteria. The record is from RNAcentral. RNAcentral also lists the same sequence under 2 other names.